UACGGAGGGUGCUAGCGUUGUUCGGAAUUACUGGGCGUAAAGCGCACGUAGGCGGAUAGUUAAGUCGGGGGUGAAAUCCAGGGGCUCAACCCCGGAACUGCCUUCGAUACUGGCUGUCUAGAGAUCGAGAGAGGUGAGUGGAAUUCCGAGUGUAGAGGUGAAAUUCGUAGAUAUUCGGAGGAACACCAGUGGCGAAGGCGGCUCACUGGCUCGAUACUGACGCUGAGGUGCGAAAGCGUGGGGAGCAAACAGG
RNAcentral lists this ribosomal RNA (253 nucleotides) under uncultured bacterium. RNAcentral describes it as "partial 16S ribosomal RNA". It matches the Rfam family "Bacterial small subunit ribosomal RNA", at positions 524 to 776 of the family's 1533-position model. The record is from RNAcentral.